UUACAGACAUAGCUCAGUGGUAGAGUAUAUGGUUGGCAUGCACAAGGCCCUGGAUUCAAUACCCAGCACUGCAAA
This 75-nucleotide transfer RNA is filed under the name Marmota monax (woodchuck). Its description in RNAcentral is "tRNA.Ala". Lineage: Eukaryota; Metazoa; Chordata; Mammalia; Rodentia; Sciuridae. The record is from RNAcentral.